GUGUCUGUGGUGCAAUUUUUAGAGCAUUCGGCUGCUGAUUGAAAGGUUGGUGGUUCAAGCCCACCCAGGGAUG
Molecule: transfer RNA, 73 nt
Filed under: Sphaerodactylus townsendi
Lineage: Eukaryota; Metazoa; Chordata; Lepidosauria; Squamata; Sphaerodactylidae
Description: tRNA-Ser
Rfam family: tRNA
About the family: Transfer RNA (tRNA) molecules are approximately 80 nucleotides in length. Their secondary structure includes four short double-helical elements and three loops (D, anti-codon, and T loops).
Source: RNAcentral